Molecule: unclassified non-coding RNA, 2130 nt
Filed under: Hevea brasiliensis (rubber tree)
Lineage: Eukaryota; Viridiplantae; Streptophyta; Magnoliopsida; Malpighiales; Euphorbiaceae
Source: RNAcentral
GGCAAUAUAAAUAGCAUCAAUAUUCAUAAAUUAAACAAUGAGAAAUGGAUGCAAACAAAGUUAAAAAACAAAAUAAUACCAGCAGAAUUUGAUUAGAUAAGGACUAGGUUUACAACCAUCAAGAAUUACACCAUUGUAACAUUUUGUACUCCAUACGUUAGUUCUAUAUCAACCAACAUAUUCAUAGGUGAUCAAUGGAUGACUGGCUUGAGAGGAUGAGCUCUUAGGUUUGAUAAGUCAAUAUGUGAAUCAAGCUCUUCAUCCAGUUCCCCAACAAUGCUUCUGAAAGAAUCAAUCAGGAAAGAUCAGAAAAAAGCCACAGUUUAGGAUGUAGUGAGAACACAAGGGAACUAAGAAAUUGAAUACUCCUCGCCAAGCAAAAAAACAAAAAUAUUAUAAAGCGCAAGAAACAAUGAAGAAAGCAUUUACAUGUUGUCACCCCUUAUUAUGUACAAACCCAGAACAAGUUGUUGAACGCCCUCCUGCAAAUCAAUUAAUAGUUAUUCAUGCAGCGUGAGUACAUAAAAUAUCAUCUUCAAAUGUUCAAACUAUAAAUGAAGUUUCAACUCAGCUCAGUAUUAAACUGUCUAAGAGGAGCUGGAAUUACAUCAUUUAAAUAAUAGCAGUUCAACUCAGAUAAUAUUAAAUAUCCCCUUGGGAAACAUUAAACUGCAUCAAAUUUGUUAGAAAACCAAGAAUAAAUCACUGCUUCAUGUACAGCUUCUUAGACAAAUAAGCAUAAAAACCUUAGUAGAGUAAACACGUUCAUGAGAUUCAUCGAGGAUGAUAUUUGUGGCCUGGUCAAAGCCUUUCAAGAUUCCCUGAAUCAUAAAGCUCUUCAUAAUUAAGAUGAUAUUCUAAAUGAUCACAUGAAUGUAUUAAAGAAAUAUAGGUCAUGCAGACCAAACUUAUAGCUUACCACUAUGUUGCGGCCAUCAUUGGUUAUAACUGAAAUUGUUUCUGCAAAAAAGGGAAAUAAUUACAGGAUAACUAUGCCAAAUUGGAGAAAAUCUGAACGAGUCAAUGCCACUGAAGCAUGAAGAGAAUUCCUUUCUCAGCAAGAAUUAUGUGGAACAAACAUUAAAAAUAAAAUAAAAUAAAACAAAGCCUAGGCUCAAAAACAAAACACAAGUCAUACACCUCAAAAAGUAGUCCUGUAAAGCAUAUUGUUCAUGAAACACGGCAUAGUUUAGGUUGUGACUUUUUAAUCUAUUUUACCCCAACUCAUAAAGCCCAUGCUUGAUCAGAUGACAGAAUCAUGCAUCUUUCUUGGCAUUUCCUAGUAAAGCAAUGUUAAUCAAAGUUCCUUAUAUUAUGUGCUUGUUAAUGAUAGUAUUUCUGCAGCAUAUUUCACAUGUAAUUUGAUUUUAAAAAUAUAUUUAUCAUAUUACUUCUUCCAUUUCUUACAAAUCUUAUGGAAUUUUUACGCAUUUCUUAAGUGUUUUAACAUGCUUUUCAAAACAGUUUGAAUAAUAUUUAUCACAGGCUUUCAUAUUACUUCUUGAAUCAAAGUUUCAAUUUUCAAAAUGCUUACACCUCAAUGUCUAAAUAGUAAGCCACAUCUUGCAUUUUAUGAUAUCUCAAGGACUAAAUGCUUCGAAGUUCCAAGGAAAGCAGUCUUGCUACUAAAUUUUAGCCUUUAAAGUCUACAGGAAUGAAAAAGCAAUUAAACAGGAUCUUAAAGAAUUUGCAUACGAUCUACAAGAGACUCAAGACCAGGACCAGUAGACAUGUUGCAAGCCCUGAAGCAGCUGAGAGAGAAACUCCUUUACAAGACUGGCUAUAACUACAGUCAAUCUCUCAAGAAAGAAUCGGACAUCGUGAAGAAACUGAAGAUUCAAUGAUGCGAUUCAAGCAGAAGAGUGAAGAAAUUGAAGAGAAUCAAGUUAAGAGUUAAUACACUGAAGAUUUAAGGAGAAAAAGAGAGGGAGCGAAAGAAGAGAAUCGACUGAAGGCUCAAGUAAUUGAAGUUGGAGGUUGAAUGCGUUUUGAGAUGGUAGGAUUAACAAUCGACAUCAUUUUGGUUCCAAUAACAGGUAGGCUAAAUCAGACCUGCUCCAACCGUUAAAAUCGUGAUGGGUCAACUGGAUCACCAGUAACCCAGCCGAUUCCCCAGAUUUUUAGGAGGUU